Molecule: ribosomal RNA, 443 nt
Filed under: uncultured bacterium
Lineage: Bacteria
Description: bacterial SSU rRNA
Rfam family: Bacterial small subunit ribosomal RNA
Source: RNAcentral
AUGCAAGUCGAACGAGAAAGCGGGGGCAACUCCGCAAGUAAAGUGGCGACCGGGUGAGUAACACGUGACUAACCUGCCCUCGAGCGGGGGAUAACCCCGGGAAACCGGGGCUAAUACCGCAUAACGUCCUCGAUACGAAAGUAUUGAGGAUCAAAGGAGCAAUCCACUUGAGGAGGGGGUCGCGGCCGAUUAGCUAGUUGGCGGGGUAAUGGCCCACCAAGGCUGAGAUCGGUAGCCGGCCUGAGAGGGCGCACGGCCACACUGGAACUGAAACACGGUCCAGACUCCUACGGGAGGCAGCAGUGGGGAAUUUUGCGCAAUGGGGGGAACCCUGACGCAGCAACGCCGCGUGGAGGAUGAAGUCCCUUGGGACGUAAACUCCUUUCGACCGGGAAGAUAAUGACGGUACCGGAAGAAGAAGCACCGGCUAACUCUGUGCCAGC